RNAcentral lists this ribosomal RNA (253 nucleotides) under uncultured bacterium. RNAcentral describes it as "partial 16S ribosomal RNA". It matches the Rfam family "Bacterial small subunit ribosomal RNA", at positions 524 to 776 of the family's 1533-position model. The record is from RNAcentral.
UACGAAAGGUGCAUGCGUUACUCGGAAUCACUGGGCGUAAAGCGCACGUAGGCGGACUCGCAGGUCAAUUGUGAAAUACCUGGGCUCAACCCGGGAACUGCAGUUGAAACCGCUUGUCUCGAAUACCUGAGAGGGUGGGGGAAUACCUGGUGGAGAAGUGAAAUUCGUAGAGAUCAGGUGGAACACCGGAGGCGAAGGCGCCUGCCUGGCAGUGUAUUGACGCUGAGGUGCGAAAGUGCGGGGAGCAAACAGG